UACAGAGGUCCCAAGCGUUGUUCGGAUUCAUUGGGCGUAAAGGGUGUGUAGGUGGCGCCGUAAGUCGGGUGUGAAAUUUCGGAGCUUAACUCCGAAACUGCAUUCGAUACUGCGGUGCUUGAGGACUGGAGAGGAGACUGGAAUUCAUGGUGUAGCAGUGAAAUGCGUAGAGAUCAUGAGGAAGACCAGUGGCGAAGGCGGGUCUCUGGACAGUUCCUGACACUGAGGCACGAAGGCCAGGGGAGCAAGCGGG
Molecule: ribosomal RNA, 253 nt
Filed under: uncultured bacterium
Lineage: Bacteria
Description: partial 16S ribosomal RNA
Rfam family: Bacterial small subunit ribosomal RNA
Source: RNAcentral